RNAcentral lists this long non-coding RNA (231 nucleotides) under Mytilus galloprovincialis (Mediterranean mussel). Lineage: Eukaryota; Metazoa; Mollusca; Bivalvia; Mytilida; Mytilidae. The record is from RNAcentral.
AAAAACUAUCAGCACUUAAUCAUCCCAUUUAUAUGUUUCUAUACUUUUACAGUAAGCAUAUUAUCCUUGUCCUAAUACUUGUAUUUGUUUACUUGUUAUGUUGAUCCGGUUAUUUGGUGUUAUUGAGCCAAUACGUUUCCGAUCAGGAGGGAAAUAAAUGUUGCUGAACAACUUAAUUGUAUCCGGGUAAGUAAGUCCGCAGUUUAUAAGCUUUGUAAUAUUGAUACCCUU